UACGUAAGGUCCGAGCGUUGUCCGGAAUCAUUGGGCGUAAAGGGUACGUAGGCGGAUAAGCAAGUUAGAAGUGAAAGCCUAUAGCUCAACUAUAGUAAGCAUUUAAAACUGCUCAUCUUGAGGUAUGGAAGGGUAAGUGGAAUUCCUAGUGUAGCGGUGAAAUGCGUAGAUAUUAGGAGGAAUACCGGUGGCGAAGGCGACUUACUGGCCUUAAACUGACGCUGAGGAACGAAAGCGCGGGUAGCAAACAGG
This 252-nucleotide ribosomal RNA is filed under the name uncultured bacterium. Its description in RNAcentral is "partial 16S ribosomal RNA". It matches the Rfam family "Bacterial small subunit ribosomal RNA", at positions 524 to 776 of the family's 1533-position model. The record is from RNAcentral.